CUUCAAUCUGUUCAUCUAGAGUCAUAAACUUUGCAUCCAUGUUGUCAAACCUGGUGUCAAUCCUUUGGAAAUUACUAACACAGAGAUCAUGGAGGCUCCUUUGAUUUUCAGCAAAGCUAUCAAGCCUAUUCACCAUGAGUCUUUCAAAAGACGACAUGGUUGGCAUUCUUUCUCCUUGAUGUCCAUCAGCAGCACUAGGUCCUGCAUCUUGAAAAACUUCAGUUGGAUCUUCAUGUUGAACAUCCAUAUCAGCAAGUUCAUCUUGUUCAAGAUUAGCAGCACCACUAGAUGAGGCACCAUGAUCACCAUCCUUGCUUAUCCAUUU
This 325-nucleotide long non-coding RNA is filed under the name Phaseolus vulgaris (common bean). RNAcentral describes it as "long non-coding RNA (PVUL_LNC003120)". The record is from RNAcentral. Lineage: Eukaryota; Viridiplantae; Streptophyta; Magnoliopsida; Fabales; Fabaceae.